This 253-nucleotide ribosomal RNA is filed under the name uncultured bacterium. Its description in RNAcentral is "partial 16S ribosomal RNA". It matches the Rfam family "Bacterial small subunit ribosomal RNA", at positions 524 to 776 of the family's 1533-position model. The record is from RNAcentral.
UACGAAGGGGGCUAGCGUUGUUCGGAAUUACUGGGCGUAAAGCGCACGUAGGCGGCUUUGUAAGUUAGAGGUGAAAGCCUGUGGCUCAACCACAGAAUUGCCUUCGAUACUGUUUGGCUUGAGACCGGAAGAGGUUAGUGGAAUUCCCGGUGUAGCGGUGAAAUGCGCAGAUAUCGGGAGGAACACCAAUGGCGAAGGCGGCUCACUGGACCGGAACUGACGCUGAGGCGCGAAAGCGUGGGGAGCAAACAGG